UACGUAGGCAGCGAGCGUUGUUCGGAAUUACUGGGCGUAAAGCGUGCGUAGGCGGUGCCUCAAGUUUGGUGUGAAAUCUCCCGGCUCAACCGGGAGGGUGCGCCGAAAACUGAGGUGCUCGAGUGUGGGAGAGGUAAGCGGAAUUCCUGGUGUAGCGGUAAAAUGCGCAGAUAUCAGGAGGAACACCUAUGGCGAAGGCAGCUCGCUGGGACGUUACUGACGCUGAGACGCGAAAGCGUGGGGAGCAAACAGG
RNAcentral lists this ribosomal RNA (253 nucleotides) under uncultured bacterium. RNAcentral's name for it is "partial 16S ribosomal RNA". It matches the Rfam family "Bacterial small subunit ribosomal RNA", at positions 524 to 776 of the family's 1533-position model. The record is from RNAcentral.